CACGUAGGGUGCGAGCGUUGUCCGGAAUUAUUGGGCGUAAAGAGCUCGUAGGCGGUGUGUCGCGUCGGCCGUGAAAACCUGCAGCUUAACUGUGGGCUUGCGGUCGAUACGGGCAUCACUGGAGUUCGGCAGGGGAGACUGGAAUUCCUGGUGUAGCGGUGAAAUGCGCAGAUAUCAGGAGGAACACCGGUGGCGAAGGCGGGUCUCUGGACCGGUUCUGACGCUGAGGCGCGAAAGCGUGGGGAGCAAACGGG
Molecule: ribosomal RNA, 254 nt
Filed under: uncultured bacterium
Lineage: Bacteria
Description: partial 16S ribosomal RNA
Rfam family: Bacterial small subunit ribosomal RNA
Source: RNAcentral